RNAcentral lists this ribosomal RNA (253 nucleotides) under uncultured bacterium. RNAcentral's name for it is "partial 16S ribosomal RNA". It matches the Rfam family "Bacterial small subunit ribosomal RNA", at positions 524 to 776 of the family's 1533-position model. The record is from RNAcentral.
UACGUAGGGGGCAAGCGUUGUCUGGAUUUAUUGGGCGUAAAGAGCGUGUAGGCGGCCUGAAAGGUCAGCUGUGAAAACUCGGGGCUCAACCCCGAGACGUCGGUUGAAACCAUCUGGCUAGAGUCCGGAAGAGGAGUGUGGAAUUCCCGGUGUAGCGGUGAAAUGCGCAGAUAUCGGGAAGAACACCCGUGGCGAAGGCGGCACUCUGGGACGGUACUGACGCUGAGACGCGAAAGCGUGGGGAGCGAACAGG